AUCAUGGACUAUUGUUGUAGUGGCUGUCGAUCACGACCAAAACGUGGGCAGAAUAAACCACCGGGCAGAGUUUUCUAACCCUGGCAUACGGUGCUAAAGGAUCUGGCGAGAGAUGAGACGUGAUUUCUCUCUUGCACAGAGAAAUGAUCAACGGGGCUGAGUUUACCCCUCGGUUCCCUUCCAGCUCUCUCCCCUGUCUCUUUUGUAUUGUUUCCUUUUUUUUUUUUUUUCUUUCUUUCUUCCCCUCGACUCCAGCUCUGGGAAGGGGCAGCGAGGGCUGGAGGGGGCUGAAUCUAUUGGAUCCGCUGAGAGACAGCAACCAGACACCCACAACCGGGGGUGGGAGGGGGACCCUUGCCUGCCCGGCGCAGAGGGAUGUGCUUGGAGGGGUUUAUUUCCAUGCGAGUGAAGCCACAGCUCGGAGCUGGGGGGCGAGUUCACAGAUACCACAUCUCCAAGAACCAAGUUUCAGAGCACUAAAGACUAAUGAAAACCAGCUGAGAACACCUCCAGUACCUGCAGCCACGGAGCUCCUUGUUUGGUAUCUGAAGAAUGUGAAUCUUCCUGUGAUUCCUGACCAAAAUUGCAUGAUAUUAGCAAUUCUUUUCUUCAACCGGCAGCUGGAAAUGUGGAUUUGUCAUACUUCUAAUAUUGAAUCAGCUCAAGCCUUGCUUCAUUCCCAGGAAAGAACAGCUGUCCAGCUCCACUAGGGAAGAUGCUUUCUGAUCAUGAAUAAAGCCUGACUGAACCCAAAACACUUCAUCCCUGUUGCUUUGCAUGAUGGAAGAACUUGCCAGCCUAAUGAUGAUGCACAUAUACACUUGAGUAUGCUUUAUUGUGUAACUGUAAAUGCUGAUUUCUGUUUUACUAUUAAGAAAAAAUGGGAGAUUUUUUCAAAGUAUUUUUAAGCGCUUACUAUGGUCACCUUGAAAACAGACUCUUAGCAUGGCAGCUAAUGCAUAUGUUUGACAAU
Molecule: long non-coding RNA, 973 nt
Organism: Alligator sinensis (Chinese alligator)
Lineage: Eukaryota; Metazoa; Chordata; Crocodylia; Alligatoridae
Exons: 3
Source: RefSeq, a predicted model, not a curated record